RNAcentral lists this ribosomal RNA (193 nucleotides) under uncultured bacterium. Its description in RNAcentral is "partial 16S ribosomal RNA". It matches the Rfam family "Bacterial small subunit ribosomal RNA", at positions 1309 to 1500 of the family's 1533-position model. The record is from RNAcentral.
AACCCGACUCCAUGAAGCUGGAUUCGCUAGUAAUCGCGCAUCAGCCACGGCGCGGUGAAUACGUUCCCGGGCCUUGUACACACCGCCCGUCACACCAUGGGAGUCGGAAAUGCCCGAAGUCUGUGACCCAACCUACGGGAGGGAGCAGCCGAAGGCAGGUCGGAUGACUGGGGUGAAGUCGUAACAAGGUACC